UACGUAGGGAGCAAGCGUUGUUCGGAUUUACUGGGUGUAAAGGGCGCGUAGGCGGCAAAUUAAGUCAGCUGUGAAAUCUCCGAGCUUAACUCGGAACGGUCAGCUGAUACUGAUCUGCUAGAGUGCGGAAGGGGCAAUCGGAAUUCUUGGUGUAGCGGUGAAAUGCGUAGAUAUCAAGAGGAACACCUGAGGUGAAGACGGGUUGCUGGGCCGACACUGACGCUGAGUGCGCGAAAGCCAGGGGAGCAAACGGG
Molecule: ribosomal RNA, 254 nt
Filed under: uncultured bacterium
Lineage: Bacteria
Description: partial 16S ribosomal RNA
Rfam family: Bacterial small subunit ribosomal RNA
Source: RNAcentral